CUGGAAGCUGGAGCGUUUUGGCAUCGGCCGAGCGUCCAGAGUCAUGUGAGGUAAACAGAGGUCAUAUUUUGGCUCAUUCCCGCUGAUUUGGAGCUCAGGGGGAUCGGGGAUGAUGCCACCUGAUAGUCUGAACGGGGAGGAACGUCGUGAAAGAUUUAACUGGCGUGUUAGGAGGACUGAAUGGGCUUUGUGAGCUCUGCGCAGGAACUCUAUCCAUAAUGCAAAGGAUGACAGAGCUGCCUCUGUUCCCCAACAAGCAUUAGUCCUGAGCCUCUACUUAUGAUGUCUGUGUGCGGCGUCCCUUCAUGAAUGAAUGAUGGCCUGAGCUCGUAUCAAUGGCCGUCCCAUCGCUCUUCGAAGGCCAUUUCUAGAAAUCUCCUUCCAUUGUGGCACGAGCCUUUUGUUUGCAUAUUAUCGCAUUGGUGAGUCUUAUAUAGACACCUUAAGCGAUUAACUAAUGCAAGUUUGCAAUUUGAACCUGCGGCCACACCCUGCUUAAACCCCUGAGCAGCUGCCACAUGCGCUGACUCACCCUCAGACGCAGUAAUGGCCGCCGUGGAGCUGUAGACGGGUACUUUACAGACUUUUCCAAAUGAGGAGGCACAAUCAGAUAAGACGGCGAGUGUCAUCACGGACAUAAGUUUGACUCGCAGGAGAAAGGCGGCAAAGUGUGGGGUCUGAGGGGACAACUAAAGGACGCUUACGUCAAGGUGGUGUCCAGUCAGUAAACACCUUACAACACCCGUAAAUGAAGUGGAGUCAGACAGAGAGGACUUAAACGUGAUGUGAUGAAGUCCUGGACGCUUCAUGAGACCUUUGACUCUUUUAUACAUUAAUCUAAUCAACUCAAAUUUAUGCUUUCUGACUCUUUCCACUAUUUCUACUCAGCUAUGUGACAAACAGCAACCAGAAUUAUAAUCCUUCAAAAUAAAAGCACAGUUCAACAAUGCAGGACAUAAAAAGAAACCUAAAACACUAGACAGAAAAGAUACCAAAAUAAAAGCAUGAUGAACAACCGUUUAACUGAGGUGAUGUCCUUUUAAAGAAAAAUUUUAGACAGAGGAUUGAUGAUUAUCAUGGAUUUUAGUAUUAUUAGAAACACAUAAUGACAUGUAUGGUAAAUGUGUUUAUUAGGAAGGUUUAGGAAGUGAAAUGAUGCAUCUACAAAAGAGGAUUAGGGCCACAAAAAGAGAAAAAAUGAUUACAGGAGGGAGAAUUUUUUUAAUCUCCAUUUUGAGAUUAAACUUUAUUCAUGUUGACUUUAAUCUCGAAAUUUCGACUUUAAUCUCAAAUUUUUAAUUUUUUUAAUCUUGAAAUUUCGACAUUAUUCACAAUAUAUUGACAUUUUGUAACUUCAAAAUUUCGACUUAAUCUCGAAAUUUAAAUUUUUACUCUCGAAAUGUCGACUUCAUUGACAUAAUUUCGAUUUUUUAAUCUCAAAAUUUGACUUUAAUCUCCUUCCUGUAAUUUUUUAUUUUCUCUUCAUGUUGCCUGAUCCUCUUUCGUAUGCACUUCACUUUGACUGAUUGUGUCGUUUUACUUUCAAGUUUUCCUUAAAUAUCAUGAUAACAUUUUUAUUGUGAUAUAUUUGAUAUAAUUAGGAAUAUUAAAAAACUCAAACACAAAACUUUGCUUAAACGUCUUUAGAUUAAUGAGUUGACAGUUCACUAGUUACACUCAGAGUACCUGGAUGUCUAGCCAAUCAGAUUGUAUUGUGGGCGGGACAUAAGGUGAGACAGAUUGGUAAGUCUCAGCACAAGGAUGUUCUAAUAAAAAAUACUCAAACUUUGAUCCAAGUUUACUCUCAUGCGCCCUUUUCUGCUCCUUUACAUUUUUAGCUGCCUGCUGCAGAAACCACAUCAUGUUACAUGUGCCACGCUGCAGAUUCUGGACAGGUGAUACAUUUGACUUUCACAGUAAGGUAAGAUGAGAUUCUCUGUUGAGGAACAAAAACUUGCACAUGCAUGGAACUAAAUUAGCAAAGACACAAGCAGCGACUUGUCUGCAGCAACAUCCACACAAACUGAAGGUCCUUCACAGAAGCUCUGAGCAGUGCUAGCUGUUCCCCUCUGGUUCUGGUCUCUGUGCAAGGCUGAGCUCUUAAAACCACAUUGCAAAGGGAACUAAAGGGACUAAAGAUCCUGCUCCCAGUGGACUCUCUGCACACCAGCAACAUCUGAGCGUGUAUUUUCUGCUUCUGCACCAGUUAUGACCUUUGUGUCGACUGUUACCCGACCUUGUAGAUAUGCUCAUUUUUAAUAAGAACAAGUAUAAGGAAAGGUGGACACAUGUCUAAAAUGAACAAACUGUCUCAAUAAGAUAAGAUCAGUUCGAUUACGUUCUUUAUAAUGAUAAAAAAGCUGGUUAUAUAUCAGUAUCAGUGUUUAAAACCCAAUAUCAAACAUCCCAAAUGUCCACCCAUUCCUCUGAGGUUGUGUUGUAUUCGUUUCUGUUGGUCAGUUCUCAACGUCGGUGUAAGACAGCACCUGCUCGGCCCGUGUCAGCCCACAUCCUGCUGUCCUGUAAUCUACGGCCUGACAGACUUCAUGUCCCUUGUUCCUACAUGAUUUAAACAACUACUGUGAACUGUCAGGUUUCAGCUCCCUCCAGAGUCUCAGUUUCUCGCUCAGGUCUUCGUCUGGUCAUCAGAUCUGUCUAUUACCUCAGCGAGGGCUGCCAGGUUGGCCCCAGCUUCCCUCCACACACACACACACGCUCACACACACAUACACACAAACACCAAACUCCUUUUCUUUCUUCUGCCAAACUUCAUCAAACGGUUAAUAAUUCAGGGUCAACAAGAAGUCCGAACAGCAAACCAAACUGAGGAUUUUCAUUAAACCUCUCUCUCUUUCUCUCUCUCUCUCUCUCUGCAGCUGAUGUGGGUGUAGUGUGAAACUGGACCGAGCUGAUUCCUCUGACAGAGAAGAAGGCGACCGCAUGUCAAAGGAGAGCCGGUGUCAGGCGGAGUCGUGGCCUCUUCAAGUGCUUCCUGGUUAAGGAUUGUGUUGCUGGUUUACUUAAGUCAAAGAUCACUUCUGUGAUUAACGCCAGCUCAGUGGAGGUCACUGAUUUGAUGAGAGCAACAAGUGGUCAGCGGAACGGAGUGGAGGAAACCAUAUCUGACAGAAGACGUUAAUAUAUUUGACAACUAUUGUUAAAAAAAAGAUGUCGGCAGCCCAACUGUAAACUCUGAACUUCAGCAUGAGGGGUGACUUUAAGAAUAAUUGAGUAUAUUUAAUAGUUAUAGUGAUUUCUAAGCAGGUUUACCGUCCCGAUGCAAGAAAUAAAACAUUUUAUCAUUAUACUCUAUAAUAACUUUUUGUCCAUUUUAUGAUUAAUUUUGAGAACAAACAGUCAUAACUGUUAAUUCAUAACACAAUUCAUAACAGACACCACAGCUCUUCUUAACCUUCCUCCUGUGUUAGCCGUCACUACACACCCACUUUGUUAAGGGUCGGUUUUACCCGUGUCUUAAAUCAGCUGCAAAUUACACUAAAACAAUUCUUCAUCAUUAUACUCUUUACUAACUUUUUGUCCAUUUUAGGAUUAAUUUUAAGAACAAGCGGUCAACCUCCAUAACAGACACCAUAGCUCUUGAUAAUCCCAAACAAGUCAAGCAGCCAAUGAUACUGAGAGCAAAUCAGAUGUAAAACUUCAUUUGAGACCCACUAGUGAUCAUGUGUGCAAAAAAACACAUUUUUUACCUGUUCAGACAUUCAUCUUGUUGAAAAGUUUACCUCCCAUCACCUCCUCUGUUCACUGCUCACCUCCUC
RNAcentral lists this long non-coding RNA (3776 nucleotides) under Xyrichtys novacula (pearly razorfish). Lineage: Eukaryota; Metazoa; Chordata; Actinopteri; Labriformes; Labridae. The record is from RNAcentral.